This 434-nucleotide ribosomal RNA is filed under the name Modisimus cavaticus. Its description in RNAcentral is "partial 16S ribosomal RNA". The record is from RNAcentral. Lineage: Eukaryota; Metazoa; Arthropoda; Arachnida; Araneae; Pholcidae.
CUCUUUAAGAGUAAGACUUAAAGUAAAAUCUGCUCAAUGAAAAAAUUAAAUAGCCGCAGACUAACAUCUGUGCUAAGGUAGCAUAAUCAUUAGCUUUAUAAUUAAAAGAUAGAAUGAAAGAUUAAACGACACACUUACUAUUUAUAUUAAUUUAAAUUAACCUUAAUUAAAAGUUAAAAUUCUUUUAAUAAUAAAGAAGACGACAAGACCCUAUAAACUUAUAAUUUUACUGGGGCGGUAUAAAUAAAAAAAUCUUAUAAUUAUCCAAAAACAACCCUAAAAUAUUUAUCUAAAGUUACUAUAGGGAUAACAGCGCAAUUUUCUUCCAAAGAUCAUAUAUAAAAGACAAGUUUACGACCUCGAUGUUGAAUUAAUUUUAUCUAAAAUUUAGUGAAAAUACUAUAAAGAAUGGUCUGUUCGACCAAUAAUAAAUU